GCUCCCUUCGUCUAGUGGCCUAGGACGUCGCCCUCUCACGGCGAAAACGGGGGUUCGAGUCCCCCAGGGAGCGCCA
Molecule: transfer RNA, 76 nt
Filed under: Gammaproteobacteria bacterium
Lineage: Bacteria; Pseudomonadati; Pseudomonadota; Gammaproteobacteria
Description: tRNA-Glu
Rfam family: tRNA
About the family: Transfer RNA (tRNA) molecules are approximately 80 nucleotides in length. Their secondary structure includes four short double-helical elements and three loops (D, anti-codon, and T loops). Further hydrogen bonds mediate the characteristic L-shaped molecular structure. tRNAs have two regions of fundamental functional importance: the anti-codon, which is responsible for specific mRNA codon recognition, and the 3' end, to which the tRNAs corresponding amino acid is attached (by aminoacyl-tRNA synthetases). tRNAs cope with the degeneracy of the genetic code in two manners: having more than one tRNA (with a specific anti-codon) for a particular amino acid; and 'wobble' base-pairing, i.e. permitting non-standard base-pairing at the 3rd anti-codon position.
Source: RNAcentral